CAUAUUACCUGUUAACCUGUAAGCUAUUAUUUAAGUAACUUUUUCUAAACAUGUAAAUCUAAAUAUUUAAAUAAUUAUAAACUUAGAAAUGUCAACAUCAAGUCAUCCAACCAAUGAAGUGAAUGUUUGUAUAGCCUGAACUAAUGAACUCUGGCUAGCCAAAAACAGUUGUUUUAAUUAGUCAAGUUUUCCCAGUGAAUAAUCAUAGGUUUAACGUGCUGCUAUUUUAAUUAAUUUUCUGUGCGAUACUAAGUGUACGAAAAGAAAUAGUCUCAGGCAAUUUAUUUACCUUAUUUCAUAUAUUUAAUGGUAUAUAUAUAUAUAUAUAUAUGUUUAGUACUGCACACAAUAUUUUAAUGCCAGAUAAAAUGUAAAUGUAAUUCACAAUUCUAUUCAUAACUAUAAAGUAAUAAGUUUUAAUUGUUCUACAGGAUGGGAAGAUUAUCCUGAUAGGUCAUAUGGUUUGAUAUCGACAGAUUUGUUUCUUUAAGACUUAGUAAUCUAUAUAUAUAAGGGAUGAUGUAUUGCUCAUCUGUUUCUACAACCAACAAGUGUGUCAUGUAGCCAGCACAGCAUCUAAGGCUUGUACUUUCCCCAACUAAUAACAAAUACUCACUAAAGUUGGGGAGCCUCACUUACCUGCUGAGAGGUCAUGUAACACACAUAGUUAUGAACUGAACAAAGAAUAUAGAGUCUUCACUUUUGGUAGAGAGACUUUGUUCAAUUAAAAAAAUAGAACAUCAGUGUGGUGAAAUAUGUGCAUUAUGCAUUUUUUUGUGUGCAGGGCUUUUGCAAGAGAGAAUUCGAGCACCUCAGGUCCUCUUUCCAAAUGAGUUUGAUGAUGAUGAUGACCUCCACAAAGCAGGAAAUACUAGCAGAUGCUGAGUUCAUCUCAUAAAAAAACAUAAAAAUAUUUGAUGAUUUAAUAAUACAACUCCUGAAGGAAGUUGAUGUUUUCCAUGAUGUGAUCAAAUUUAAUGAUUGUGGAUCAAAGUGAUUCAUGGUGUAUAGUAAAGGGUAUGAUAAUAUUUGGCCUUGGUUCAUAUUCAAGGAAUCACAAUCUGUAUGGAGAAAAAUAUGCAUAUAUUCCUACUAGUCAUUAGUCUUGUCUCAGAUUUUUUGUUCAAUUGCCUUCUAUAGAUUUAAAAAUAGAUUUUAAAAAAUACUUAACUGUUUAACCUGCAGAUUAUAACACCUCAGUACUACCAGUUACCAACAAGAGAGCUAGAGUGGAAUCGUAAAGGGAGUGAGACCAAAAAGAAUGUGGUGACACAGUGUACUAGAUGAAGCCAAGAGGACAGGAAAGAGCUGGGAAGCCAUUUAAAAAAAAACUAGCAAGAGACCAUGAAGAGUGGCAUGUCUACAACAUUUAUUUCAUUUUAUCAUAAAUUGAUUUAGUCUAUAUUAUAAUAAGAGUUAUAUAUUUAGUAUUGUUCACUAAAAAGUUACUCAAAUCAUUUAAAGUUUUAUUAGUUAGGAUAUAAUACACCUACAGCAGUUUGGUGCUACAGGUCAAUGACCGUCAAUAACACUAUUUAAAAAAAGUAGAUAUUGUAACUUUUGAUCUAGACUUUCUAUUAGUUUCGGAAAAAAAAAAUGUGUAUAAUUACACGUUUGUCAUCUCUUACCGUAUCUUAUUACAGACAGACGUUAAUUACGCCCUAUGCAUUUCAUGUGUCAUUCUAGUCAUGCAUGUUAACCAAUAACUGCUAUGUCGUAGGUUUACCUGGCUGAUUAUUAUUGUACCCUAUAUACUAAGAUGACUAAGAUCUAUAGAUCAGUCAUCAUCAGAAACUUGAUUCCAGGUAGAUUCAGAUCCAUUUAUAAUUAUAAUCUAGAUUUUCUUGUCUCCUAAAUCCUAAGGCUUUACUAAACAGCCUAAUUAAAGUAAUUAGGACUAGGUCCUAGGCCUAUACUUUUACUACCAUAUUGGUAUCAUACAUAGUAGGGCCUAUAUAAAAUAUUAAUUACUAGAUCUACUUAUUCUACUAUUCAUUUAAUAUAGACUCUAGAUCUAGAUUUUAGUUUUUUUUCUUUAUACGUUAUAUACUUAUAUAGAUCUAGAUUCAGUAAUUCUGCAGGAGUUCAAGGGGCAGCCAUCUUUGUUAUUGUUUAGACUGUAAUCUUGGGUUUUCUCUCAGAUUUGUUUUUUUUUUUUUUUUUUUUUUGAAGCUAAAUAAUAUUCUAGAUCUAGCUAUACUGGUAUCAUCUAGUCCUAAUAAGUCUAUUAAUUAGACUCAUAAUCUAACUCUUAGAACUAGACUAAUUAUUAUAUUAAUAUGACAAGGUUCUUAAUGGGUGGCUGCGUGGUCGUGCGGUUUGCGCGUUGGAUUGUCGUUCGGAUUUAUCGACGGUCGAGGGUUCAAACCCUGCCCGCUCCCAUCCCCCGUCGUCCUGCGGGAGGUUUGGACUAGGAAGUAAACUAUCUUCAACUCUGAAGGAACAUCCGAAACAUGUAAAACAUUUUACAAACAAAGACAAUAAAGGUCUAUUAAACUGUGCUGAUAUUUAUUGUAGGCCUAGUUAAAUUUAGAUUCUCUAUAUCAGAAUAAUUCAAAAUAGAUAUAGAUUCUAGACAAUAUUUAACAAUUAAAAAGAAGACAGAACAAUAAGAAAUGUAUUGUAUUGACACCAAGUCAAAAUUAAAAGGAAUAAUAGACCUAGCAUUGCUUUGAAAACACAGAAGUAAUGUUAAUUCUUGGUAUUUUUUAAGACACUAUCUUGGGAUUUCUUUGGAACAUAAACAAUAACAAAAUAGUACAAAGAUGGCUGCCCCUUGAACUCCUGCAGAAUUACCCUAGAUUCUAUCUAUUAGUAAUUAAUGAUUAAUCUAUUCAUUAAAAUUAAAAUGAUUCAAUAGUCAAUAUUAACAAAAUAAAACGUUAACAUUAAAAUUAAGUUUAACAGGUUACAUUAAUCAUUACAUGAUCAUCAUAAUGAUUAAUGAUCAUAUCGUCAUAUUCAUUGGAAUUUCAAUAGCCUCUCAUGUCAAUAGUGAUAAUACUAGAUCUAAUAAUAGCAAAAGAAAAAAAGAAAAUAAAUAAUUAAAAUCAAGAUGAAGAAUUGGUUAUGAUUAUGAAGAAUGAGUGCAAACACUUUACCUUUAUUAAGCUGCUAAGCCUUAUGCAACAAUUACUGUAGUUUAAACGUUAUCUUCUUGGUCUUGAAUGUGCUACAAUGUAUGAAACUUCAUUAUAUAUCCAGUGCUUUUCAAAUAGAAUGUUACUGUUAGUGUAGGUUCUAGUCUACAGCUAGAUUUAGAUCUAUUCUAUUGUUUUCUUUCCGGUUACAUCCAAGAUGGCGAGACUUUGUCAACACACACACAUGACGUCAUGGGUAGGGGUCAUGGGAGGUCAAGGUCUUUUUGGUUCCUAUUUUGAUUGUUUAAAUUAUUAUUUAUUAUACUUGUACAAUAUUCCUCUUUUACGAGAUUUUUCUAAUCAUUUAAAUAUAGAUUUAUAGUUUUAUAUAAGAGAAUGGUUAAUACAAUAGUUCAAAAUAGUUGUAGAUCUCAAUCUAUCUUUCGAUUAAAAGUAAAGUGACUAGUCUUAAUUUCCUUACCAUAUGUGUCUUCUAAAAUAGUUCUACUAAUUUUAUCUGUUACUUCCCUUCACUAGUAAUGAGAGGCAAUCAUUCACAGAUUUAAUUGAUCACUUUUUCAUUUUUUAUUAAUAAAAAUCAAUUUUUUUUUUAAAUCGCAAUAAAAUUUUAAUGUUUACUAUAAAGAACCAAUUUGUUAUAGUACCAGUUUUAUUUAGUUAAAAUGAUAAAUUAGUCACAUUUAAAGAUUUAAUUUAACAUUAUGUAAUAAAGCAAACGCUUUAAUGCAGACGACUCAUUGAUAACACCUUUAUAAAGGACAGAGCCAUAUUGUUUUCUUGGAGCGUGUGUCAGGAGACACGUCUGACAUUGAUCGCUAUGAUCUUUACGGCUUGAUCUGUCUAGAUUGGUUGUUUCCACUACACUAAAUUUAUAGAAGGAGCUCCCGCUGCACUCCGGGUCGCACGGUCGAGCUCUAGUCAAAAUUUCGGUCGUAGUGUUUUCAAGGCACGGCGGCCAUGGGGUUCUUUCUGUUAGGGCUUCUCUCUUAUUUCGCGUAACGGGAAGUUCGUACUCAGAAACCACAAUCAUUUAUGUCGCUCCGUUUAAGGCACUACACGUGGUAGAUUGCCAUUCUUU
Molecule: long non-coding RNA, 4179 nt
Organism: Biomphalaria glabrata
Lineage: Eukaryota; Metazoa; Mollusca; Gastropoda; Planorbidae
Exons: 2
Source: RefSeq, a predicted model, not a curated record